This 73-nucleotide transfer RNA is filed under the name Stegodyphus mimosarum. It matches the Rfam family "tRNA". From Rfam's summary of the family: Transfer RNA (tRNA) molecules are approximately 80 nucleotides in length. Lineage: Eukaryota; Metazoa; Arthropoda; Arachnida; Araneae; Eresidae. The record is from Rfam by way of RNAcentral.
GCCUUCGUAGUACAGUGGUCAGUACACUCGGCGCGUAUUCGAGAGGUUCGUGGUUCGAGUCCCAGCGAGGGCA